This 75-nucleotide transfer RNA is filed under the name Thomasclavelia spiroformis. RNAcentral's name for it is "[Clostridium] spiroforme (human gut metagenome) tRNA-Arg". It matches the Rfam family "tRNA". Rfam says of the family: Transfer RNA (tRNA) molecules are approximately 80 nucleotides in length. Their secondary structure includes four short double-helical elements and three loops (D, anti-codon, and T loops). Lineage: Bacteria; Bacillati; Bacillota; Erysipelotrichia; Erysipelotrichales; Coprobacillaceae. The record is from RNAcentral. RNAcentral also lists the same sequence under 3 other names.
GUCUCCAUAGUGAAAUGGAUAUCACGCAACCCUCCGGAGGUUGAAUUGUAGGUUCGAUUCCUACUGGGGAUACCA